This 266-nucleotide ribosomal RNA is filed under the name uncultured Oscillospiraceae bacterium. RNAcentral describes it as "partial 16S ribosomal RNA". It matches the Rfam family "Bacterial small subunit ribosomal RNA", at positions 75 to 339 of the family's 1533-position model. The record is from RNAcentral. Lineage: Bacteria; Bacillati; Bacillota; Clostridia; Eubacteriales; Oscillospiraceae.
AGUAGCAAUACUCCGCCGGCGACCGGCGGACGGGUGAGUAACGCGUGGGUGACCUGCCUUUCAGAGGGGGACAACAGUUGGAAACGACUGCUAAUACCGCAUGACAUAUAGAUGUCGCAUGGCAUUUAUAUCAAAGAUUUAUCGCUGAAAGAUGGCCUCGCGUCUGAUUAGCUAGUUGGUGAGGUAACGGCCCACCAAGGCGACGAUCAGUAGCCGGACUGAGAGGUUGAACGGCCACAUUGGAACUGAGAGACGGUCCAAACUCC